CAUGUUUCUGUGUGGCUAGUCACGCUCCAGUGGAACCUGUUCCUGCAACACACCUGUUGCUGACACUGCCAAAAAGAUAAUGUCCUCUCUAUAUCCGAAAAAACAGCAGGGAUUACAGUGGAAGAAAAAGAUGAUAGUUUUGGUUCCCCACUUGUGCCUCCCAUAUGCCACAGCCGUGUAGCCUAGGGGUGUGAACCUGUGUGCACUCCAGACACAGGAAGGUGAGGGCACAGCUGCAAGAUCCCGCAUACAUCUGUCACAGCCGAGUGGCCGUUCGGAGGCAGAGAGGGCGGGACUCAUAAGUGACACAGCUGUCCUCAUAAACACAUACUGCAGAUACAUAUGGUGGAAAGAUGGAUGUUUAACAAACAGUGUCAUAUGUGAAAACACCCCACCUACACGCAUGUUUAUGUCCACAACUUAGCUCCAGGGCGUAGACUGAGGUUUAAUAGAAGUAAAUAAACAACCAUUUACGUGCAUUUUUUUUGUUUUCCUCGAGAACAUGUGGAUGUUUUUCUCCUGUGUUUCUAAAAUGUAACAAAGUAGGGUAAAGGAGAAUUAAAUAAUUUAAGAUUUAUGAAUCGUUGUUAGCUGAACGAACAACCACAACUGUUCUGUG
Molecule: long non-coding RNA, 619 nt
Organism: Epinephelus moara (kelp grouper)
Lineage: Eukaryota; Metazoa; Chordata; Actinopteri; Perciformes; Serranidae
Exons: 3
Source: RefSeq, a predicted model, not a curated record